UACGGAGGAUGCGAGCGUUAUCCGGAUUUAUUGGGUUUAAAGGGUGCGUAGGCGGACGCUUAAGUCAGCGGUAAAAUUGCGGGGCUCAACCUCGCCGAGCCGUUGAAACUGGGUGCCUUGAGUGGGCGAGAAGUACGCGGAAUGCGUGGUGUAGCGGUGAAAUGCAUAGAUAUCACGCAGAACUCCGAUUGCGAAGGCAGCGUACCGGCGCCCUACUGACGCUGAAGCACGAAGGCGUGGGUAUCGAACAGG
Molecule: ribosomal RNA, 252 nt
Filed under: uncultured bacterium
Lineage: Bacteria
Description: partial 16S ribosomal RNA
Rfam family: Bacterial small subunit ribosomal RNA
Source: RNAcentral